CCCUGGGUGGCUCAGUCGGUUAAGCAUCUGACUCCUGGUUUCAGUUCAGGUCAUGAUCUCAUGGUUUGUGGGUUCAAGCCCUACCUCAGGCU
RNAcentral lists this transfer RNA (92 nucleotides) under Felis catus (domestic cat). It matches the Rfam family "tRNA". From Rfam's summary of the family: Transfer RNA (tRNA) molecules are approximately 80 nucleotides in length. Their secondary structure includes four short double-helical elements and three loops (D, anti-codon, and T loops). Lineage: Eukaryota; Metazoa; Chordata; Mammalia; Carnivora; Felidae. RNAcentral also lists the same sequence under 3 other names. The record is from Rfam by way of RNAcentral.